UGGGGGAUUUUGCACAAUGGGCGCAAGCCUGAUGCAGCGACGCCGCGUGAGGGAUGAAGGCCUUCGGGUUGUAAACCUCUUUCGCUGGGUUGAAAGGCCAUGCUUUGGGUGUGGUUGAUUUGAACUGGUAAAGAAGUACCGGCUAACUACGUGCCAGCAGCCGAGGUAAUACGUAGGGUACUAGCGUUGUCCGGAUUUAUUGGGCGUAAAGGGCUUGUAGGUGGUUUGUCGCGUCUGUCGUGAAAUCCUGUGGCUUAACCAUGGGCUUGCGGUGGGUACGGGCAGGCUUGAGUGCGGUAGGGGAGACUGGAAUUCCUGGUGUAGCGGUGGAAUGCGCAGAUAUCAGGAGGAACACCGGUGGCGAAGGCGGGUCUCUGGGCCGUUACUGACACUGAGGAGCGAAAGCGUGGGGAGCGAACAGG
This 422-nucleotide ribosomal RNA is filed under the name Fusobacteriota bacterium. RNAcentral describes it as "Fusobacteria bacterium partial 16S ribosomal RNA". It matches the Rfam family "Bacterial small subunit ribosomal RNA", at positions 355 to 776 of the family's 1533-position model. The record is from RNAcentral. Lineage: Bacteria; Fusobacteriati; Fusobacteriota.